Molecule: ribosomal RNA, 468 nt
Filed under: uncultured bacterium
Lineage: Bacteria
Description: bacterial SSU rRNA
Rfam family: Bacterial small subunit ribosomal RNA
Source: RNAcentral
ACGCUAUCACUCCUACGGGAGGCAGCAGGUGGAUAUGCACAAUGGGGGAAACCUGAUGCAGCCAUGCCGCGUGUGUGAAGAAGGCCUUCGGGUUGUAAAGCACUUUCAGUAGGGAGGAAGGUAGUGUAGUUAACACCUGCAUUAUUUGACGUUACCUACAGAAGAAGCACCGGCUAACUCCGUGCCAGCAGCCGCGGUAAUACGGAGGGUGCGAGCGUUAAUCGGAAUUACUGGGCGUAAAGCGCAUGCAGGCGGCCUGUUAAGUCAGAUGUGAAAGCCCGGGGCUUAACCUCGGAAUUGCAUUUGAAACUGGCAGGCUAGAGUCUUGUAGAGGGGGUAGAAUUUCAGGUGUAGCGGUGAAAUGCGUAGAGAUCUGAAGGAAUACCAGUGGCGAAGGCGGCCCCUGGACAAAGACUGACGCUCAGAUGCGAAAGCGUGGGGAGCAAACAGGAUUAGAUACCCUGGUAG